GACGAACGCUGGCGGCGUGCUUAACACAUGCAAGUCGAACGGAAAGGCCCUGCUUUUGUGGGGUGCUCGAGUGGCGAACGGGUGAGUAACACGUGAGUAACCUGCCCUUGACUUUGGGAUAACUCCAGGAAACUGGAGCUAAUACCGGAUAGGAGCUCCUGCUGCAUGGUGGGGGUUGGAAAGUUUCGGCGGUUGGGGAUGGACUCGCGGCUUAUCAGCUUGUUGGUGGGGCAGUGGCUUACCAAGGCUUUGACGGGUAGCCGGCCUGAGAGGGUGACCGGCCACAUUGGGACUGAGAUACGGCCCAGACUCCUACGGGAGGCAGCAGUGGGGAAUAUUGCACAAUGGGCGGAAGCCUGAUGCAGCAACGCCGCGUGCGGGAUGACGGCCUUCGGGUUGUAAACCGCUUUCGCCUGUGGCGAAGCGUGAGUGACGGUAAUGGGUAAAGAAGCACCGGCUAACUACGUG
This 468-nucleotide ribosomal RNA is filed under the name uncultured bacterium. RNAcentral's name for it is "partial 16S ribosomal RNA". It matches the Rfam family "Bacterial small subunit ribosomal RNA", at positions 28 to 507 of the family's 1533-position model. The record is from RNAcentral.